RNAcentral lists this ribosomal RNA (985 nucleotides) under uncultured organism. RNAcentral's name for it is "bacterial SSU rRNA". It matches the Rfam family "Bacterial small subunit ribosomal RNA", at positions 397 to 1421 of the family's 1533-position model. The record is from RNAcentral.
CCGCGUGAAUGAUGAAGGCCCUAGGGUUGUAAAAUUCUUUCAUCAGGGACGAUAAUGACGGUACCUGAAGAAGAAGCCCCGGCUAACUUCGUGCCAGCAGCCGCGGUAAUACGAAGGGGGCUAGCGUUGUUCGGAAUUACUGGGCGUAAAGCGCGCGUAGGCGGACUAUUAAGUCAGAUGUGAAAUCCCGGGGCUCAACCUCGGAACUGCAUUUGAAACUGGUAGUCUAGAGGCCAGGAGAGGUUAGUGGAAUGCCGAGUGUAGAGGUGAAAUUCGUAGAUAUUCGGUGGAACACCAGUGGCGAAGGCGACUGACUGGACUGGUACUGACGCUGAGGUGCGAAAGUGUGGGGAGCAAACAGGAUUAGAUACCCUGGUAGUCCACACCGUAAACGAUGAGUGCUAGUUGUCGGCAGGCAUGCCUGUCGGUGACGCAGCUAACGCAUUAAGCACUCCGCCUGGGGAGUACGGCCGCAAGGUUAAAACUCAAAGAAAUUGACGGGGGCCCGCACAAGCGGUGGAGCAUGUGGUUUAAUUCGAAGCAACGCGCAGAACCUUACCUACCCUUGACAUGCCCGGUUUGGUCGCCAGAGAUGGCUUCCUUGAUUCGUUCGCCGGUGCACAGGUGCUGCAUGGCUGUCGUCAGCUCGUGUCGUGAGAUGUUGGGUUAAGUCCCGCAACGAGCGCAACCCUCAUCCUUAGUUGCCAUCAGGUUUGGCUGGGCACUCUAAGGAAACUGCCGGUGGCAAGCCGGAGGAAGGUGGGGAUGACGUCAAGUCCUCAUGGCCCUUACGGGUAGGGCUACACACGUGCUACAAUGGCAGUGACAAUGGGAUAAUCCCUAAAAACUGUCUCAGUUCGGAUUGUCGUCUGCAACUCGACGGCAUGAAGUUGGAAUCGCUAGUAAUCGUGGAUCAGCAUGCCACGGUGAUACGUUCCCGGGCAUUGUACACACCGCCCGUCACAUCAUGGGAGUUGGUUCUACC